This 571-nucleotide ribosomal RNA is filed under the name Halomonas mongoliensis. RNAcentral's name for it is "bacterial SSU rRNA". It matches the Rfam family "Bacterial small subunit ribosomal RNA", at positions 154 to 720 of the family's 1533-position model. Lineage: Bacteria; Pseudomonadati; Pseudomonadota; Gammaproteobacteria; Oceanospirillales; Halomonadaceae. The record is from RNAcentral.
UAACCCAGGCUAAUACCGCAUACGUCCUACGGGAGAAAGCAGGGGAUCUUCGGACCUUGCGCUAUCGGAUGAGCCCAUGUCGGAUUAGCUUGUUGGUGAGGUAAUGGCUCACCAAGGCGACGAUCCGUAGCUGGUCUGAGAGGAUGAUCAGCCACAUCGGGACUGAGACACGGCCCGAACUCCUACGGGAGGCAGCAGUGGGGAAUAUUGGACAAUGGGCGAAAGCCUGAUCCAGCCAUGCCGCGUGUGUGAAGAAGGCCCUCGGGUUGUAAAGCACUUUCAGUGGGGAAGAAAGCCUUGGGAUUAAUACUCCCGAGGAAGGACAUCACCCACAGAAGAAGCACCGGCUAACUCCGUGCCAGCAGCCGCGGUAAUACGGAGGGUGCGAGCGUUAAUCGGAAUUACUGGGCGUAAAGCGCGCGUAGGCGGUCUGAUAAGCCGGUUGUGAAAGCCCCGGGCUCAACCUGGGAACGGCAUCCGGAACUGUCAGGCUAGAGUGCAGGAGAGGAAGGUAGAAUUCCCGGUGUAGCGGUGAAAUGCGUAGAGAUCGGGAGGAAUACCAGUGGCGAAG